Long non-coding RNA from Salvelinus namaycush (lake trout), 2157 nucleotides. RefSeq lists it as uncharacterized. The transcript has 3 exons. NCBI's taxonomy places the organism in Eukaryota, Metazoa, Chordata, Actinopteri, Salmoniformes, Salmonidae. The record is from RefSeq and is a predicted model, not a curated record.
GACAAGCCAGGACAGACGGUGAACAGAUCGCCAGGUGGAAUCCAAGCAGCAGUGCAGUGGGAGUAGGUGUCACACCCACUUGGGACAAGCUUUAUUUCUGGAGGAGGCAUUUCCUUGCUGCUGCUAAAAGAUAAUCUAUCAAUUUAAGUGGAGAGGAUUGGAGUGUCUCCACAGGAACAAUACCUAGGAGGAAAUUACAUGGAUCUGGUUGAAUAAUGCCUGUGAUGUCCUGUAUAACAUGAUUCACCCUGCCAUGAGUUCCUAAGAUUAUUCAAAGAGGAUAUUUGCAUGGCCAUUGUGGAUUUUAGAAAAUAUUCAAAUAAAGGCUGUGUUUUGUGUAGGCUUACCCUGGCCUGGCGUUUUGAUAACCGUGUUAAUCUCUCCCAGACAAGGUGACUUUUAUUAAUCUAUUUGCCUGUAUUUACCCCCCAAAAAUGAAAUAUGAUAUUUAGCUGCUAUCAUAGAGAACUACAAAUGCCUGUCUCAAGCUUCACAUCACUCACCAAGGCCCAUGGUCAUCUGGAUGAGACUGCCAAAUCGAGGCUAAGGUAAAUUAUUGUCAUGUUCUAUUCCAGAACCAGUGGGUGUCCCUGAGGCUUACCACCUCUCAAUUAGAAACCACAAUGUUCACUUCUGUGUGUGUUAAUGUGGGGUGGCGAACUAGAGAAUGAAACUCUGGAAAUGGACACAUCUGCCUGGUUCUUGUCGGACCGCCAGACCAAUGUGGAGUCAGCAUUAAGGCACUAGUGGGUGAGGGCAUCUACAGCCAACCGCUCAGACGGCUCCAGCUAGCUGUUUUUACACGGUCUUUCAUUUCGCAGGAUUUAGCGACCAACAGUUUUUUUUUCAGGCUAUGGUUUGUAAUCAGGUAUGGGCUGGGCUGGAACAAAAGCUUAUACACAGUCCAGGCAAUCAGAUCUAGAGCAGUCCACCCAUGUGUAGACUAAUGUACUGGCCCGUGUGGUACAGUCUUUCAUAUGUGUAGUAGUUUGUUGCAUCAUAUUGCUUAGUUUUCAUUUGUUUCAACUUUGAAUUCAAUCUAAACCACAGAUUAACUUCCUCCAUUUUGUAUUUUACCUUUGUAUAGAUGCAGACCCAAAGACACUCAAGUCUCCAAUUGUCCCAGUAAUAGUUGAUGUACAGGCCUAAGUGACCAUACACAAUGGACCUACAGCUGGGGUGAGAUUAUUCCAUCAUUCACACACAGUAGACCUGGUGUAAACGUGGUCAACAAAAUGCUGUCCUCAACGCUUAAAUUGUAUUGUCUAUGGCAAAACAAAUUGGAAAUGCUGUGAUCACUAAGAAAUGACGUUGAGGGACACACGCUGAGACCCCGAGUAUGACUGGACAGAUUUGUGACAACGACCUAAAAGGGGUGCAGAAGCACACCAGCACCCCAUUUUAUGUUUAUUCCAUGGCCAACCAUCCCUCUAGCUACCCCUUAUUCCACAUCUAUGCCUUUUCUGCCUCAACUUCAGACACUUGGGAUCUCUCCAUCGUAUCUCUAUAAACCCACCCUACCUUCACCCAUUUUUUCUAUGCUGCUUCCUACACUGGUUCUUCUCCUGAUUUGAUAACGUCUAAACUCAGUAACAUGUUUAAAAGUGUACUGUUUUUGCUACCUUUUUUCACCUGUGUAAUGCUGUCCUCCUGCUUAUUGUAGGGGUUCAGACCGAAUGCAGUGGUAAAUGUGCUGCUCACAAUUGACAGCAGCAACAUGGACCUUUUACAUUGACAUGAUUGGUGUUUAUAUACAGUAGCUGCAUUUGGGCAUGGCUUCCUGUUUUGAGUCUGGUAAGUGGGUUUCUCAUCCUGCUGGAGUUGACCUAGUAAUUUAUAUAAAAGCGACCUUACGCAUCCAGUUUUUCCAUUUGUAACUCACCUACCAAAAUCACAAUGUGCUGUUUUACGUUGCGUUAUUUGUGCUGGUCUAACUACUCAAAUGGAAAAGAAGAAGAACCUUUGCACUCUCGGAUAGUUAUUUAAUGUCCCAGGUUUCCGGCAUUGAUGAAUAUAAUUUAGUGUUUACCUAAAUUCAAAUGUUUUAUAUGUUGUGUAUAAAAGGCAUAUGUAUGCAUUGUUUAAUAUACUGAACAAAAAUAUAAACGCAACGUAAAGUGUUGGUCCCAUGUUUCAUGAGCUGAAAUAAAAGAUCCU